UGAGUAAGACAGAUGGUCGCGGCUGCAGAACCGAAAGGCUGCAGGUGAGGAAAGUCCGGGCUUCACAGGGCAGGAUGCCAGAUAACGUCUGGUGGAGGCGACUCCAAGGACAGUGCAACAGAAAUGUACCGCCCGGUUUACCGGGUAAGGGUGGAAGGGCAGUGUAAGAGACUACCGCCCGGCUGGUAACAGCCGGGGCACAUGUAAACUCCAUCCGAAGCAAGACCGAACAGAGAGCGCAAGGCGGCCCGUCUGCUCUCGGGUAGGUCGCUUGAGCCUGCUGGCGACAGCAGGACUAGAUAGAUGACCAUUCAACGACAUAACCCGGCUUACCGUUUUGCUCAAAUC
Molecule: RNase P RNA, 348 nt
Filed under: Clostridium sp. AF02-29
Lineage: Bacteria; Bacillati; Bacillota; Clostridia; Eubacteriales; Clostridiaceae
Description: RNase P RNA component class A
Rfam family: Bacterial RNase P class A
About the family: Ribonuclease P (RNase P) is a ubiquitous endoribonuclease, found in archaea, bacteria and eukarya as well as chloroplasts and mitochondria.
Source: RNAcentral